GGGGAAUUUUGGACAAUGGGGGCAACCCUGAUCCAGCCAUGCCGCGUGCGGGAAGAAGGCCUUCGGGUUGUAAACCGCUUUCGGACAGAAAGAAAUCGCCAUCUCUAACAUAGGUGGUGGAUGACGGUACUGUAAGAAGAAGCACCGGCUAACUACGUGCCAGCAGCCGCGGUAAUACGUAGGGUGCGAGCGUUAAUCGGAAUUACUGGGCGUAAAGCGUGCGCAGGCGGAUAUUUAAGUCAGAUGUGAAAUCCCCGGGCUUAACCUGGGAAUUGCAUUUGAAACUGGAUGUCUAGAGUGCGUCAGAGGGUGGUGGAAUUCCACGUGUAGCAGUGAAGUGCGUAGAGAUGUGGAGGAACACCGAUGGCGAAGGCAGCCCCCUGGGAUGACACUGACGCUCAUGCACGAAAGCGUGGGGAGCAAACA
Molecule: ribosomal RNA, 426 nt
Filed under: uncultured bacterium
Lineage: Bacteria
Description: bacterial SSU rRNA
Rfam family: Bacterial small subunit ribosomal RNA
Source: RNAcentral